UACGGAGGGUGCGAGCGUUGUCCGGAUUUAUUGGGUUUAAAGGAUGCGUAGGUGGCCUGUUAAGUCAGUGGUGAAAUACAGCCGCUCAACGGUUGAGGUGCCAUUGAUACUGACAAGCUUGAAACAAGUGGAGGUUGCCGGAAUGGAUGGUGUAGCGGUGAAAUGCAUAGAUAUCAUCCAGAACACCGAUUGCGAAGGCAGGUGACUACGUUUGAUUUGACACUGAGGCACGAAAGCAUGGGGAGCAAACAGG
This 253-nucleotide ribosomal RNA is filed under the name uncultured bacterium. RNAcentral describes it as "partial 16S ribosomal RNA". It matches the Rfam family "Bacterial small subunit ribosomal RNA", at positions 524 to 776 of the family's 1533-position model. The record is from RNAcentral.